AGACCACACCAUGCCAGGCGAGGAGCCUCUGGCCAGGGGUGCAAGUGGGCAUGUGCCAGGAGCCGCAGGAGCAGAAAAUCAUUGACUAGGGGCGAGGUAGCCUCAACGAUGUUGAAUUUCAGCACAGCCGUGGUGACUGGUGUGAAGUCUUGUUGCUAAAAUCCAGACCCCAUAAUGAAGAUGACAAGAUAAGCUACAAAUUGGAAGAAAAUUUUUGCAUAUCACAUCUCUGACAAGCACCUUCUAGAGAACUCUCAAAAUUUAAUAAUAAAAAACCCCAAUCAAUUCCAAUCCUUUGUGGCCUGUGCUGGUGCGUGCUUCUCACACUCACAUCACAGGAAUGAAAACAAGAGCUGCAAUGGGAGCAUCAGCAGAGAUGGAAUGAUACUCUAUUGCAUCUAUAUAUCACAUUUUCUUUACCAAUUUGUCUGCCAGUGGACAUUUGGGUUGCUUCUACCUCUUGGCUAUUAUGCCUUGGAGAAAUUGGAAAACUCCUAGGGUCAAGACAGGGAGAAUGAAGAACAAGAGUUUUAUUGACUUCAAGAUUGGAGACCUCAAGAGUCAUUGUAAUAUGAUCCCUUAGAGGCCAGGUAGUGUGAGGUCUGACCUCAGCUGGCAUGUAGGCAAGAUUUCAAAAACCAGUGCGAUAACGUCACCCAUUCCCGACUCAAAAUUCUUGCCUACCACGCAGGGGGCAGAACACAGGGAGCCUGGAAGAAACUGACGGUGUAUACUCUGAAGGUCAGCUAUUAUCUGGACACACACAGAGCAAACCUCAAGGUUAGAGAGAUGUGACGUGAGAUUGGGCAUAAACCCCCAGCACAACUCCAGGAGGCGCCAUUCUGAUAUCCUGGGUGCUGGCGCACUUGGAGCAGAGGGAGAGAGGUAUGAUAAUGUGUGAAGAUGAAGGAAGAACAAAGUCUCCAGCCAGGAUGGAACCACAGAAGGCUCAAUUAUUUUUACAUGAGAGUAAUUUGCUCAUUAACCUAUGAAGACUCAAGUUAUUCUUUCAUUCAAAGGAAAUGCUACUGCUGCUACUGCAAAUUAUUUUGACUUCACAGCAUUAUAAAAACAGAUAUUUUAAGGUGAACUGUAGUCUGAUCUCCCAUAAAUAUAGACGGUUCUUCUUUUAAUACACCUAUUUAAA
This is a long non-coding RNA of Talpa occidentalis (Iberian mole), 1147 nucleotides long. RefSeq lists it as uncharacterized. The record is from RefSeq and is a predicted model, not a curated record. The transcript has 9 exons. Lineage: Eukaryota; Metazoa; Chordata; Mammalia; Eulipotyphla; Talpidae.